AGGGAGACAGGUGAGUACACAGGUAGAUGGGUUGAUGGGUAAGUAGAUAGGGAGACAGGUGAGUAGACAGGUAGGUGGGUAGAUGGGUAAGUAGAUAGGGAGACAGGUGAGUAGACAGGUAGGCGGGUUGAUGGGUAAGUACGUAGGGAGACAGGUGAGUAGACUGGUUGGUAGACAGUCAGACAAACAUGUAGAGAGGUAGGUAAGUAGACAGGCAAAACAGACAGGUAGGCAGCUAGACAGGUAGGUAGAUAGGGGGGAAGAAACAGACAUACAGGGAGGUAGGUUGGUAAACAGGUAAGUAGUUAUGUAUGUAGAAGUAUGUAGAAGUAAGUAGGUAGGGAGACAUAUGGGGAGACAAGUGGAUAGACAGCUAAGUUAGGAAGAUGUGUAUGUAAACAGGUAAAUAGUUGGUUAAACAGGUACAGUAAGUACACAGACAAGUGGGGAGACUGGUGGCUAGAAAGGUAGACGGGUGUGCGGACAUGUAGGAAGGUAGACGGGUAGGUAGACAGGUUGGUGGAUAGACAGACAGACAGGAAA
Ictalurus punctatus (channel catfish) is the source of this 543-nucleotide long non-coding RNA. The record is from Ensembl. NCBI's taxonomy places the organism in Eukaryota, Metazoa, Chordata, Actinopteri, Siluriformes, Ictaluridae.